AUGACCAAGGGGUGUGCAACGCUCUUGGUGGGCAACGACGGGGAGGCUUCACGGCAGUUUGCGGUAUCGGUGACGCUGCUCGCGCAUCCCACGAUCAUCGAGCUGCUCGCUGAGGCGUGGGAGAAGUACGGGUACGCGCCUGAGGGCGCCAUCGUCGUCCCCUGCAGCUUGGAGUGGUUCCAGAGGGCGGUCGACGUGGCGAGGGCCCAAGAACGGCGCCAUCACCAUCACCACCUCCGCCUUCCGCACCUCAUCGGGUGCUUUAGGCCGCCGCAUGUUAUUGCGUAG
This 288-nucleotide ribosomal RNA is filed under the name Triticum aestivum (bread wheat). RNAcentral describes it as "partial small subunit ribosomal RNA". The record is from RNAcentral. Lineage: Eukaryota; Viridiplantae; Streptophyta; Magnoliopsida; Poales; Poaceae.